GCAUUGCUGAAGAGUCCCAUACUAGGACGGGACGGCCGUCCAGUGC
This is a non-coding RNA of Schistosoma mattheei, 46 nucleotides long. The record is from Rfam. Lineage: Eukaryota; Metazoa; Platyhelminthes; Trematoda; Strigeidida; Schistosomatidae.